CCAUCUCUAGUUUAUAUGGAGAAUUAACUCCCUACAGACACCGAUUGUAUACUGUACAAAGCGUUGAGGAUUUUACAUGUUACAGUCAUCUAAUGUUCA
Molecule: long non-coding RNA, 99 nt
Organism: Limulus polyphemus (Atlantic horseshoe crab)
Lineage: Eukaryota; Metazoa; Arthropoda; Merostomata; Xiphosura; Limulidae
Exons: 3
Source: RefSeq, a predicted model, not a curated record